This 612-nucleotide ribosomal RNA is filed under the name uncultured marine eukaryote. RNAcentral's name for it is "SSU rRNA". It matches the Rfam family "Eukaryotic small subunit ribosomal RNA", at positions 621 to 1233 of the family's 1831-position model. The record is from RNAcentral.
AAAAAGCUCGUAGUUGGAUCUCGGCGGACUGAGGGCGGUUUGCUUGCUAGUAUUACUGCCCUAUAGUCCGUAGUUUUGCCAGAGGUUUCGGGGUGCUCUUAAUCGAGUGUCCCGGGAUGCUGGCAGGUUUACUUUGAAAAAAUUAGAGUGCUCAAAGCAGGCUAUUACGCCUGAAUAUGCGUGCAUGGAAUAAUAGAAUAGGAAGUCGUUUCUAUUUUGUUGGUUUUCGGAAAUCGACUUAAUGAUUAAUAGGGACAGUCGGGGGCAUUUGUAUUCAAACGACAGAGGUGAAAUUCUUGGACCGUUUGAAGACAAACUACUGCGAAAGCAUUUGCCAAGAAUGUUUUCAUUAAUCAAGAACGAAAGUUAAAGGUUCGAAGGCGAUUAGAUACCGCCCUAGUUUUAACCAUAAACGAUGCCAGCUAGCGAUCUGCGGACGUUUUUUUUGUAGACUCCGCAGGAAGCUUCCGGGAAACCAAAGCAUUUGGGUUCCAGGGGAAGUAUGGUUGCAAAGCUGAAACUUAAAGGAAUUGACGGAAGGGCACCACCAGGAGUGGAGCCUGUGGCUUAAUUUGACUCAACACGGGGAAAUCUCGCCAGGCCCGGACACUG